CAGACCCUCCCACUGAUCGAACUUACCUGGCCUCUUGGUGAAAUUAUGUUUUGAUCGGAUCACUUGACUAUUCGAGCUGACCCAUGUCAGCUAGGUAAAUCAGUGUGACUGAUUUAGGUGCUCCUAGACCAGCCCUUUUAAUGGUCUCCCUUAAGCUGACUUGGUGAAGCCAGUGGGAGGAUCAUGAUAAGUUGGUUCAUCUGACCUCAUCCUCUAUAUUAUUUAAAUUUUCUAAAAUUAUUAGGUCUUUAAAAUGAUAAAGUUAUAGAGAUAACUGAGUCAUAGCCUCCCAUUAAGGUGUUUGAUAAUGAGUUCAUUAACUCAAUAAUCA
RNAcentral lists this long non-coding RNA (331 nucleotides) under Elaeis guineensis (African oil palm). Its description in RNAcentral is "long non-coding RNA (EGUI_LNC066695)". The record is from RNAcentral. Lineage: Eukaryota; Viridiplantae; Streptophyta; Magnoliopsida; Arecales; Arecaceae.